Long non-coding RNA from Helianthus annuus (common sunflower), 2012 nucleotides. RefSeq lists it as uncharacterized. Lineage: Eukaryota; Viridiplantae; Streptophyta; Magnoliopsida; Asterales; Asteraceae. The record is from RefSeq and is a predicted model, not a curated record. The transcript is spliced from 5 exons.
UCCAUUUUCAGAUAAAUAGAUGUGUGUAUCAUGACAUUAUCAUAUGUGUAUCAUGAUCUUAUCAGGGCUGGAGUUGUUGCGAAAUUAAUGGAUUUGAGAGCAGCAACAAAGCUGGUAUUGGAUGGUGGACUUUGCAAUUCCCACACUAAUUCCUACGGCAAAAACAUUAGAUCAACCGGCAAGGGCUCCGCAAAGUGGGCACUCCCCUUGCUCGACGACCCGGCACAACUCCCAGGUUCGAAACCCCCUACAAAGUUACAGUGGUGAUGCCCCAUUUUUAGAGCACGCACAUGUGCCGGGAAUUGAACUCAUGCCCGGGCAGGAACCUCCGAAGAGUAAACCUUCCCACCUCCCCCUUGACCACCGGAACAAAGGCUCAUUAUUUAUUUUUUGAUAAUUUUUUUUAGUCUUGGAGAACAUAAUUACUAUGCUAGACCUAAUUCAAAAAAACUUAUUACUUUGCGUUGCGAUAUACACUAUGAUCGUGACCCGUUUGUUCCCUAGAUUAUGUUAUGUUAUCAAACCGAGAAUGAUUCGGUUUAGCGCGCCGCAACGCGCGCGGGUAUUAAACCUAGUUGAAUUGAUAAGACAACGUUGAUUUAUACCGAUACGUCUCAUCAAAUCACACCGUUCAAAUAAUAUUCUAUUGAACUAAUAAGAAUGUUUGACGGUGAGAACUCCGACGAACUAAGUUGGGAAAAUCAUUCUGGUUCAAUGAAUCAGGGUUUACGUCACACUCCGGCGAACUAAGUUCAUUGCAUCAGAAGACAUGAGUGUAGGUUCCGGCAAUCUACGAUUUGGUGAUGCAAAUUGAAGAGAUGGAUCUUAGCUUUUAGUUACAACAGUAAAGGCAAAAAAUGAACAGAAAAAUUGACGUGAAGGUUGAUGUUGCUGGCGUUGGUGAGGCCAAAGAGGACAUGAAGAAAUUGUAAUACAUACCCGAGUUCGGGUCAAGGAUAAGCUGGAUGGCUCUUCCACCAUCGAGUUGCUUGAUGUGAGAAUCAUAUCAUGUCAUAUGAAAUGCUGUCAAGAUGUCCAUUUUUAUAACAAAAAGAAAAAGGGGGUUGAUGGUUUUAGCUAAAUGAAGAUAUUUGCAAGUUUCAAGAAACAUUAAUAUCUGUUAUAUGGAGAAGGUAGCAUUGGAUUAGUGGGACUGGUCUCACAAGCUGUUCAUGAGGAUGGUCGCCAAGGAGUAUGUUUUCUUGUUUUGUUUCCUCAUUUAGUUCCCAAUACAUUUUUCCACUAAAAUUAGACGUCGUUUAUUUUAUGAAUAUGUCGAUACGGGUUAUGUAAUUUUCAAGUUAGAGGUAAUGGGUGGGUCAAAAAGAAUCCGGGUCAAAACAACGAUUUUUUAGCAUGAAUCAAAACAGGUCAACCUUUUUGGGAGUUUUAUAAAGCACACAAAUUUCUAAAUUAUGAUUAUGAAAGUUAUAUAAUUACAAUGAUUUAGCUUUAGAUGAUUCAAAGACCUGAAUGACAUGUACUUGGUUUUAAUGAAAAAUAAUUCGUUUGGUAAGUGUGAAAAAAGAUGUCAUUUUAAAAUUAUGGUAUAUUUUAAUGCAAUUUGUGGUUCGCUAAUAAAGACAUCCAUGGGUGCUUAUUAAUGCAUUAUAACCUAGGUUUAAUCUUUUACACAAACUGAACUGGUCACUAAAUCUGGUUCAUUAGUCUAUGAUUUCUCUUCUUUAGAGAAUGAUUUUUCGGCUUAUUAGUUGUUCAUUAUUAUUAUCUUGUUGAAUCUUAAUCUCAAAACAUUUUCGAUAGCAGAGGCGUUGAUCAGAGGACUUCCUUUCCGAUCAUCCUCGAUGACUAUUUAGUGCCCAAAGUUUUAACAUCAUCGUGUAUGUAGUUUGUCGAGUAUGAUUGAUUACCUACAAUUUUUAUUUUUUGAGCUUGGAAAAAGGCUUUUGUAUAUGACAAACUGUAAGUUUGUGGUCAUGUAUUAAUUAGGGUGUUUUAGAACUUUAAAAAGUUUUUAAGUUUGUGGUCAUGUAUCAAACUUCUUAAAAACU